UUAUAAUUUAAAGUCUGGCCUGCCCUAUGAAUAAUUUUUAAAUGGCUGCGGUAUUUUGACCGUGCAAAGGUAGCAUAAUAAUUAGUUUCUUAAUUGGGAACUGGAAUGAAAGGUCGCACGAGAAAAAGACUGUCUCAAUUUAAUUUAAAUUAGAAUUUUAUUUUUAAGUAAAAAAGCUUAAAUGUUAUUAAAAGACGAGAAGACCCUAUAGAGUUUUAUAAUUUUUUAAAUAUUUAAAAGUUAAAGUAUUUUAGAUUUAAUUAUUUAUAAAAUUAUUUGAUUGGGGCGAUUAAAAAAUUGAAUGAACUUUUUUUAUUUAUAAACAUUGAUAUAUGAUUAAUUGAUCCAUAAAGAUAUGAUUAUAAGAUUAAAUUACCUUAGGGAUAACAGCGUAAUUUUUUUUGAGAGUUCUUAUCGAAAAAAAAGUUUGCGACC
This 435-nucleotide ribosomal RNA is filed under the name Allogymnopleurus thalassinus. RNAcentral's name for it is "partial 16S ribosomal RNA". It matches the Rfam family "Bacterial large subunit ribosomal RNA", at positions 1838 to 2525 of the family's 2925-position model. Lineage: Eukaryota; Metazoa; Arthropoda; Insecta; Coleoptera; Scarabaeidae. The record is from RNAcentral.